UACAGAGGUCCCAAGCGUUGUUCGGAUUUAUUGGGCGUAAAGGGCGCGUAGGCGGCUCUGCACGUUCGUUGUGAAAUCGCCCGGCUCAACUGGGCGGGGUCAGCGGAUACGGCAGAGCUUGAGCAAGCUAGGGGGCAAUGGAAUUCCCGGUGUAGUGGUGAAAUGCGUAGAGAUCGGGAGGAACACCAGUGGCGAAGGCGGCCGGCUGGGGGUGACCUGACGCUGAGGCGCGAAAGCGUGGGGAGCGAACCGG
This 253-nucleotide ribosomal RNA is filed under the name uncultured bacterium. RNAcentral's name for it is "partial 16S ribosomal RNA". It matches the Rfam family "Bacterial small subunit ribosomal RNA", at positions 524 to 776 of the family's 1533-position model. The record is from RNAcentral.